Molecule: ribosomal RNA, 464 nt
Filed under: uncultured bacterium
Lineage: Bacteria
Description: partial 16S ribosomal RNA
Rfam family: Bacterial small subunit ribosomal RNA
Source: RNAcentral
ACGAACGCUGCGGCGCGCCUAACACAUGCAAGUCGAACGAGCGAGAGGAGGUUUACUUUCUCAAGCGAGUGGCGAACGGGUGAGUAACGCGUGAGGAACCUGCCUCAAAGAGGGGGACAACAGUUGGAAACGACUGCUAAUACCGCAUAAGCCCACGACCCGGCAUCGGGUAGAGGGAAAAGGAGCAAUCCGCUUUGAGAUGGCCUCGCGUCCGAUUAGCUAGUUGGUGAGGUAAUGGCCCACCAAGGCGACGAUCGGUAGCCGGACUGAGAGGUUGAACGGCCACAUUGGGACUGAGACACGGCCCAGACUCCUACGGGAGGCAGCAGUGGGGAAUAUUGCACAAUGGGGGAAACCCUGAUGCAGCGACGCCGCGUGGAGGAAGAAGGUCUUCGGAUUGUAAACUCCUGUUGUUGAGGAAGAUAAUGACGGUACUCAACAAGGAAGUGACGGCUAACUACGUG